ACCUGGCUGGCUCAGUUGGUAGAGCAUGCAACUCUUGAUCUUGGGGUUGUGAGUUCAAGCCCCAUGUUGGGUG
This 73-nucleotide transfer RNA is filed under the name Ailuropoda melanoleuca (giant panda). It matches the Rfam family "tRNA". Rfam says of the family: Transfer RNA (tRNA) molecules are approximately 80 nucleotides in length. Their secondary structure includes four short double-helical elements and three loops (D, anti-codon, and T loops). Lineage: Eukaryota; Metazoa; Chordata; Mammalia; Carnivora; Ursidae. The record is from Rfam by way of RNAcentral.